AGACCAUUGGCAGCCCUCCUACUCGUGACAUCUCGGAGAGAGGUAGCUUGCUACUGAUCUUAGCGGCGGACGGGUGAGUAAUGCUUAGGAAUCUGCCUAUUAGUGGGGGACAACAUUUCGAAAGGAAUGCUAAUACCGCAUACGUCCUACGGGAGAAAGCAGGGGAUCUUCGGACCUUGCGCUAAUAGAUGAGCCUAAGUCGGAUUAGCUAGUUGGUGGGGUAAAGGCCUACCAAGGCGACGAUCUGUAGCGGGUCUGAGAGGAUGAUCCGCCACACUGGGACUGAGACACGGCCCAGACUCCUACGGGAGGCAGCAGUGGGGAAUAUUGGACAAUGGGCGCAAGCCUGAUCCAGCCAUGCCGCGUGUGUGAAGAAGGCCUUAUGGUUGUAAAGCACUUUAAGCGAGGAGGAGGCUACUUUAGUUAAUACCUAGAGAUAGUGGACGUUACUCGCAGAAUAAGCACCGGCUAACUCUGUGCCAGCAGCCGCGGUAAUACAGAGGGUGCAAGCGUUAAUCGGAUUUACUGGGCGUAAAGCGCGCGUAGGCGGCUAAUUAAGUCAAAUGUGAAAUCCCCGAGCUUAACUUGGGAAUUGCAUUCGAUACUGGUUAGCUAGAGUGUGGGAGAGGAUGGUAGAAUUCCAGGUGUAGCGGUGAAAUGCGUAGAGAUCUGGAGGAAUACCGAUGGCGAAGGCAGCCAUCUGGCCUAACACUGACGCUGAGGUGCGAAAGCAUGGGGAGCAAACAGGAUUAGAUACCCUGGUAGUCCAUGCCGUAAACGAUGUCUACUAGCCGUUGGGGCCUUUGAGGCUUUAGUGGCGCAGCUAACGCGAUAAGUAGACCGCCUGGGGAGUACGGUCGCAAGACUAAAACUCAAAUGAAUUGACGGGGGCCCGCACAAGCGGUGGAGCAUGUGGUUUAAUUCGAUGCAACGCGAAGAACCUUACCUGGCCUUGACAUAGUAAGAACUUUCCAGAGAUGGAUUGGUGCCUUCGGGAACUUACAUACAGGUGCUGCAUGGCUGUCGUCAGCUCGUGUCGUGAGAUGUUGGGUUAAGUCCCGCAACGAGCGCAACCCUUUUCCUUAUUUGCCAGCGAGUAAUGUCGGGAACUUUAAGGAUACUGCCAGUGACAAACUGGAGGAAGGCGGGGACGACGUCAAGUCAUCAUGGCCCUUACGGCCAGGGCUACACACGUGCUACAAUGGUCGGUACAAAGGGUUGCUACCUAGCGAUAGGAUGCUAAUCUCAAAAAGCCGAUCGUAGUCCGGAUUGGAGUCUGCAACUCGACUCCAUGAAGUCGGAAUCGCUAGUAAUCGCGGAUCAGAAUGCCGCGGUGAAUACGUUCCCGGGCCUUGUACACACCGCCCGUCACACCAUGGGAGUUUGUUGCACCAGAAGUAGCUAGCCUAACUGCAAAGAGGGCGGUUACCACGGUG
RNAcentral lists this ribosomal RNA (1436 nucleotides) under Acinetobacter calcoaceticus. Its description in RNAcentral is "bacterial SSU rRNA". It matches the Rfam family "Bacterial small subunit ribosomal RNA". The record is from RNAcentral. Lineage: Bacteria; Pseudomonadati; Pseudomonadota; Gammaproteobacteria; Moraxellales; Moraxellaceae.